CCUACGGGGGGCAGCAGUAGGGAAUAUUUCUCAAUGGGGGAAACCCUGAAGCAGCAACGCCGCGUGGAGGAUGAAGGUUUUCGGAUUGUAAACUCCUUUUGUUAGAGAAGAUAAUGACGGUAUCUAACGAAUAAGCACCGGCUAACUCCGUGCCAGCAGCCGCGGUAAUACGGAGGGUGCAAGCGUUACCCGGAAUCACUGGGCGGAAAGAGCGCGUAGGCGGGAUAGCAAGUCAGAUGUGAAAUCCUAUGGCUUAACCAUAGAACUGCAUUUGAAACUGUUAGUCUAGAGUAUGGGAGAGGUAGGUGGAAUUCUUGGUGUAGGGGUAAAAUCCGUAGAGAUCAAGAGGAAUACUCAUUGCGAAGGCGACCUGCUAGAACAUAACUGACGCUGAUGCGCGAAAGCGUGGGGAGCAAACAGGAUUAGAUACCCCAGUAGUC
Molecule: ribosomal RNA, 440 nt
Filed under: uncultured bacterium
Lineage: Bacteria
Description: partial 16S ribosomal RNA
Rfam family: Bacterial small subunit ribosomal RNA
Source: RNAcentral